UGGGGAAUUUUGCACAAUGGGGGAAACCCUGAUGCAGCGACGCCGCGUGAUUUAGAAGGCCUUCGGGUUGUAAAAAUCUUUUUUAUGGGAUGAAAAUGACAGUACCAUAAGAAUAAGGUCCGGCUAAAUACGUGCCAGCAGCCGCGGUAAUACGUAUGGACCGAGCGUUGUCCGGAAUCAUUGGGCGUAAAGGGUACGUAGGCGGCCCAGUAAGUUAGAAGUGAAAUAAUAUAGCUCAACUAUAUAAAGCUUUUAAAACUGCUAGGCUUGAGAGAUGGAAGGGAAAGUGGGAUUCCUAGUGAAGCGGUGAAAUGCGCAGAUAUUAGGAAGAAUACCGGUGGCGAAGGCGACUUUCUGGUCAUCAUCUGACACUGAGGUACGAAAGCGUGGGUAGCAAACAGG
This 402-nucleotide ribosomal RNA is filed under the name Verrucomicrobiota bacterium. RNAcentral's name for it is "Verrucomicrobia bacterium partial 16S ribosomal RNA". It matches the Rfam family "Bacterial small subunit ribosomal RNA", at positions 355 to 776 of the family's 1533-position model. The record is from RNAcentral. Lineage: Bacteria; Pseudomonadati; Verrucomicrobiota.